AGGCCGUGAUUGCAAAACAGAACUUCAGAAUCUCCCCAAGUGGGCAAACCUCCCAAAACAUUAGGGUUUGUGCCUGCUGAGAAAUUAGCAGAAAGCCAUGCAGUCCAUCCAUCAUUGUUGGUGUUUUUGUUGGUUUUUUUUCUCCUCACAUUGUAUAUUGAAACCCAUAAUUAAGACUAAUCUUUUAAAUGCCUUUGUAGAAGAGGAACACAGCAGGCACAGAAUGGACUUUUUAUUAAAAUUAACAAAAGAAAUGAAAUUUGUACAUAACAUAUAAUUGCUGAGCAUAGACUUAAUAAUUAAAAUUACUUCUGUAAGCCUGUGCUUAUGGAUAUUGAGUAAAUAAAAUUGCUGUUUGCUGGUAGAUCGAUAUUUCUGUUCACAACAAAAAUUUAUAAUUUAGGAUAAACAGUUCUUCCAUUAUAGGCUAUGAAAUUCAGUGGAAUAUGUCCAGCAUGUUAACAGCAACAGAAACAAUUAAGAAUCACCAGCAGUUGUCGAGAACUGUAUCUUUAUAGUUAUACCUGGGCAGAAGAAAUUCUCAAGUAGAGGGUACUAAUCAAAUACUACGGUGUAUUAGCAGUGUUACUGUUUAUAGUGGCCACCUUUGGGGACUUAGCUACACCCUUUUUUUAAGCAUGGGCUUAUCUGCUGUCCUGGAUCUGACUAGUGACCUAUGCUGAAUGAAUCAGAGCACAUGCCAGUGCAUUUUAUAACCGUGAAAAUGAUGCUCUUUACAGUUAUCAAGGGAAUGAUGCUAUAAAUAAGCACUGAUUUGGGGGUUUUUAGCCUCUCCAAUCUAACAUUUAACAGUCCAGUUUUUCAUAACCCAUAACACUGCUUUGGGUUCUUAUUGAUAUUGAUCAUUGCAGAUUGUGUAUUAAUAUUCUGGAAGAAUUAAAAAAUAUUUUUAUCCC
Long non-coding RNA from Harpia harpyja (harpy eagle), 917 nucleotides. RefSeq lists it as uncharacterized. The transcript is spliced from 2 exons. Lineage: Eukaryota; Metazoa; Chordata; Aves; Accipitriformes; Accipitridae. The record is from RefSeq and is a predicted model, not a curated record.